RNAcentral lists this unclassified non-coding RNA (232 nucleotides) under Hevea brasiliensis (rubber tree). The record is from RNAcentral. Lineage: Eukaryota; Viridiplantae; Streptophyta; Magnoliopsida; Malpighiales; Euphorbiaceae.
GAGAAAGUGUAAAUAUAUAUAUAUAAUUCAAUUAUUUCAUUGCUGCAUGCAUGAAAAAACUUUUGGAAGAUAUACAAAUACAUCACUCGUUAAUAUUUGUACAUAAUAUAUAUACCAGACUAUACAUGCAGAUCUGUGAUCUUCUUUCGAAGAUCUCCUAAAAAUUCCCUAUAAUUUUCACCUUGCAAUCUCAUAAGUUGAAAAACAAAAAACUGGAUCAAGAAUUUUUUUU